RNAcentral lists this ribosomal RNA (273 nucleotides) under uncultured bacterium. Its description in RNAcentral is "partial 16S ribosomal RNA". It matches the Rfam family "Bacterial small subunit ribosomal RNA", at positions 523 to 796 of the family's 1533-position model. The record is from RNAcentral.
AUACGGAGGGUGCAAGCGUUACUCGGAAUCACUGGGCGUAAAGCGCGCGCAGGCGGCUAUUUAAGUUGGAUGUGAAGCCUACGGCUCAACCGUAGAACUGCAUCCAAAACUAUUUAGCUAGAGUGUGGGAGAGGAAGAUGGAAUUAGUUGUGUAGAGGUAAAAUCCGUAGAGAUAACUAGGAAUACCAAAAGCGAAGGCAAUCUUCUGGAACACUACUGACGCUGAGGCGCGAAAGCGUGGGGAGCAAACAGGAUUAGAUACCCCAGUAGUCC